RNAcentral lists this ribosomal RNA (316 nucleotides) under uncultured bacterium. RNAcentral's name for it is "bacterial SSU rRNA". It matches the Rfam family "Bacterial small subunit ribosomal RNA", at positions 28 to 334 of the family's 1533-position model. The record is from RNAcentral.
GAUGAACGCUAGCGUACAGGCUUAACACAUGCAAGUCGAGGGCAGCGAUGGUCUUAGCUUGCUAAGGCCGAUGGCGACCGGCGCACGGGUGAGUAACGCGUAUCCAACCUGCCUUACACUCUUGGACAGCCUUCUGAAAGGGAGAUUAAUACAAGAUGUUAUCAUGAGUAAGCAUUUUCACAUGAUUAAAGGUCUACCGGUGUAAGAUGGGGAUGCGUUCCAUUAGAUAGUAGGCGGGGUAACGGCCCACCUAGUCUUCGAUGGAUAGGGGUUCUGAGAGGAAGGUCCCCCACAUUGGAACUGAGACACGGUCCAA